AGCGAACGCUGGCGGCAGGCCUAACACAUGCAAGUCGAACGGAUCCUUCGGGAUUAGUGGCGGACGGGUGAGUAACACGUGGGAACGUGCCCUUUGGUUCGGAACAACUCAGGGAAACUUGAGCUAAUACCGGAUGUGCCCUUCGGGGGAAGGAUUUAUCGCCAUUGGAGCGGCCCGCGUCUGAUUAGCUAGUUGGUGAGGUAACGGCCCACCAAGGCGACGAUCAGUAGCUGGUCUGAGAGGAUGAUCAGCCACACUGGGACUGAGACACGGCCCAGACUCCUACGGGAGGCAGCAGUGGGGAAUCUUGCGCAAUGGGCGAAAGCCUGACGCAGCCAUGCCGCGUGAAUGAUGAAGGUCUUAGGAUUGUAAAAUUCUUUCAGCGGGGACGAUAAUGACGGUACCCGCAGAAGAAGCUCCGGCUAACUUCGUG
Molecule: ribosomal RNA, 433 nt
Filed under: uncultured bacterium
Lineage: Bacteria
Description: partial 16S ribosomal RNA
Rfam family: Bacterial small subunit ribosomal RNA
Source: RNAcentral